GGUCAUAGCUCAGUAGUAGAGCAUCAGUUUUGCAUAUAGAAGGUCCUGGGUUCAAAUCCCAGCAUCUCCA
This is a non-coding RNA of Podarcis lilfordi (Lilford's wall lizard), 70 nucleotides long. The record is from the annotation of a GenBank genome assembly. NCBI's taxonomy places the organism in Eukaryota, Metazoa, Chordata, Lepidosauria, Squamata, Lacertidae.